UACGUAGGGUGCGAGCGUUAAUCGGAAUUACUGGGCGUAAAGGGUGCGCAGGCGGUUGAGUAAGACAGAUGUGAAAUCCCCGAGCUUAACUCGGGAAUGGCAUAUGUGACUGCUCGACUAGAGUGUGUCAGAGGGAGGUGGAAUUCCACGUGUAGCAGUGAAAUGCGUAGAUAUGUGGAAGAACACCGAUGGCGAAGGCAGCCUCCUGGGACAUAACUGACGCUCAGGCACGAAAGCGUGGGGAGCAAACAGG
This 253-nucleotide ribosomal RNA is filed under the name Parasutterella excrementihominis YIT 11859. RNAcentral describes it as "partial 16S ribosomal RNA". It matches the Rfam family "Bacterial small subunit ribosomal RNA", at positions 524 to 776 of the family's 1533-position model. The record is from RNAcentral. Lineage: Bacteria; Pseudomonadati; Pseudomonadota; Betaproteobacteria; Burkholderiales; Sutterellaceae. RNAcentral also lists the same sequence under 2 other names.